This 131-nucleotide non-coding RNA is filed under the name Fragilariopsis kerguelensis. Lineage: Eukaryota; Bacillariophyta; Bacillariophyceae; Bacillariales; Bacillariaceae. The record is from RNAcentral.
UGAAAUCGAAAUACACGAAAAUCGAAAAGUGCUGUGCUGUGCUGUUUCGGAUCUCCCUUCUCUUCUUCUUCUUUCUCUUUUUCUCGACUCUUUUUCUCUGUUCUUUCCUUUCCUUUCCUUCUUUUCUGUGU